RNAcentral lists this ribosomal RNA (446 nucleotides) under uncultured bacterium. RNAcentral's name for it is "partial 16S ribosomal RNA". It matches the Rfam family "Bacterial small subunit ribosomal RNA", at positions 338 to 795 of the family's 1533-position model. The record is from RNAcentral.
CCUACGGGUGGCAGCAGUCGAGAAUCAUUCACAAUGGGGGAAACCCUGAUGGUGCGACGCCGCGUGGGGGAAUGAAGGUCUUCGGAUUGUAAACCCCUGUCAUGUGGGAGCAAAUUAAAAAGAUAGUACCACAAGAGGAGGAGACGGCUAACUCUGUGCCAGCAGCCGCGGUAAUACAGAGGUCUCAAGCGUUGUUCGGAAUCACUGGGCGUAAAGCGUGCGUAGGCUGUUUCGUAAGUCGUGUGUGAAAGGCGCGGGCUCAACCCGCGGACGGCACAUGAUACUGCGAGACUAGAGUAAGGGAGGGGGAACCGGAAUGCUCGGUGUAGCAGUGAAAUGCGUAGAUAUCGAGAGGAACACUCGUGGCGAAGGCGGGUUCCUGGACAUUAACUGACGCUGAGGCACGAAGGCCAGGGGAGCGAAAGGGAUUAGAUACCCCAGUAGUC